RNAcentral lists this ribosomal RNA (244 nucleotides) under uncultured Actinomycetales bacterium. Its description in RNAcentral is "partial 16S ribosomal RNA". It matches the Rfam family "Bacterial small subunit ribosomal RNA", at positions 89 to 334 of the family's 1533-position model. Lineage: Bacteria; Bacillati; Actinomycetota; Actinomycetes; Actinomycetales. The record is from RNAcentral.
GCUCGAGUGGCGAACGGGUGAGUAACACGUGAGUAACCUGCCCUUGACUUUGGGAUAACUUCAGGAAACUGGGGCUAAUACCGGAUAGGAGCUCCUGCUGCAUGGUGGGGGUUGGAAAGUUUCGGCGGUUGGGGAUGGACUCGCGGCUUAUCAGCUUGUUGGUGGGGUAGUGGCUUACCAAGGCUUUGACGGGUAGCCGACCUGAGAGGGUGACCGGCCACAUUGGGACUGAGAUACGGCCCAG